AACGAACGCUGGCGGCAUGCCUAACACAUGCAAGUCGAACGAGACCUUCGGGUCUAGUGGCGCACGGGUGCGUAACGCGUGGGAACCUGCCCUUAGGUUCGGAAUAACUCCCCGAAAGGGGUGCUCAUACCGGAUAAUGUCUUCGGACCAAAGAUUUCUCGCCUUUGGAUGGGGCCGCGUUGGAUUAGCUAGUUGGUAGGGGACAAGCCUACCAACGCGACGAUCCAUAGCUGGUCUGAGAGGAUGAUCAGUCACACUGGGACUGAGACACGGCCCAGCCUCCUACGGGGGGCAGCAGUGGGGAAUAUUGGGCGAUGGGCGAAAGCCUGAUCCAGCAAUGCCGCGUGAGUGAUGAAGGCCUUAGGGUUGUAAAGCUCUUUUACCCGGGAUGAUAAUGACGGUACCGGGAGAAUAAGCUCCGGCUAACUCCGUG
RNAcentral lists this ribosomal RNA (433 nucleotides) under uncultured bacterium. RNAcentral's name for it is "partial 16S ribosomal RNA". It matches the Rfam family "Bacterial small subunit ribosomal RNA", at positions 29 to 507 of the family's 1533-position model. The record is from RNAcentral.